GUUCUGCACGUCGAUCUCAGGAGAAGCCAGCUCCCAUGUUAAGAAGUUCAAAUACCUAGAGACUGCGAUGGUUUGCAGAGGCUCAAGCUAACCACAUGGAAAGACAUGGAGAGAUAUUCCUUGCCAACCCUCAACUACUCCAACUAUUCUAAGACAUCAAACCUAAAAACAAACCGCAGGUCACCCACCGGUCUGAAGAGGAGGAUGAGAGACAAAGAAAAAAGUUGUCUGGCUGCCUCUGCUGUCUACAGAUUGAAGAAGAUCCAUCCAGCUGAGCCCAGCCUAGACCAGCUGACUUCUCCAAUAAGCCUGUAUGAAAUAAAUGCUUAUUGUUAUGUG
Molecule: long non-coding RNA, 339 nt
Filed under: Homo sapiens (human)
Lineage: Eukaryota; Metazoa; Chordata; Mammalia; Primates; Hominidae
Description: non-protein coding LINC00240:8
Source: RNAcentral